RNAcentral lists this ribosomal RNA (59 nucleotides) under Phoma sp. Fanqin9. Its description in RNAcentral is "partial 28S ribosomal RNA". The record is from RNAcentral. Lineage: Eukaryota; Fungi; Ascomycota; Dothideomycetes; Pleosporales; Didymellaceae.
UGACCUCGGAUCAGGUAGGGAUACCCGCUGAACUUAAGCAUAUCAAAAGGCCGGAGGAA